This 520-nucleotide ribosomal RNA is filed under the name uncultured Glomus. RNAcentral's name for it is "SSU rRNA". It matches the Rfam family "Eukaryotic small subunit ribosomal RNA", at positions 569 to 1092 of the family's 1831-position model. Lineage: Eukaryota; Fungi; Glomeromycota; Glomeromycetes; Glomerales; Glomeraceae. The record is from RNAcentral.
AGCAGCCGCGGUAAUUCCAGCUCCAAUAGCGUAUAUUAAAGUUGUUGCAGUUAAAAAGCUCGUAGUUGAAUUUCGAGAUCAAAUUGUUGGUCGUGCCUCGGUACGUACUGGCAUUAUUGAUUUCUCCUUUCUGAAGAACCUUGAUGUCAUUAAUUUGGUGUCUUGGGGAAUCAGGACCGUUACUUUGAAAAAAUUAGAGUGUUUAAAGCAGGCUCACGCUUGAAUACAUUAGCAUGGAAUAAUGAAAUAGGACGUUUGAUUCUAUUUUGUUGGUUUCUAGGAUCGACGUAAUGAUUAAUAGGGAUAGUUGGGGGCAUUAGUAUUCAAUUGUCAGAGGUGAAAUUCUUGGAUUUAUUGAAGACUAACUACUGCGAAAGCAUUUGCCAAGGAUGUUUUCGUUAAUCAAGAACGAAAGUUAGGGGAUCGAAGACGAUCAGAUACCGUCGUAGUCUUAACCAUAAACUAUGCCGACUAGGGAUCGGAUGAUGUUAAUUUUUAAUGACUCAUUCGGCGCCUUAAC